This 654-nucleotide ribosomal RNA is filed under the name Priestia megaterium. Its description in RNAcentral is "bacterial SSU rRNA". It matches the Rfam family "Bacterial small subunit ribosomal RNA", at positions 57 to 692 of the family's 1533-position model. Lineage: Bacteria; Bacillati; Bacillota; Bacilli; Caryophanales; Bacillaceae. The record is from RNAcentral.
GCAAGUCGAGCGAACUGAUUAGAAGCUUGCUUCUAUGACGUUAGCGGCGGACGGGUGAGUAACACGUGGGCAACCUGCCUGUAAGACUGGGAUAACUUCGGGAAACCGAAGCUAAUACCGGAUAGGAUCUUCUCCUUCAUGGGAGAUGAUUGAAAGAUGGUUUCGGCUAUCACUUACAGAUGGGCCCGCGGUGCAUUAGCUAGUUGGUGAGGUAACGGCUCACCAAGGCAACGAUGCAUAGCCGACCUGAGAGGGUGAUCGGCCACACUGGGACUGAGACACGGCCCAGACUCCUACGGGAGGCAGCAGUAGGGAAUCUUCCGCAAUGGACGAAAGUCUGACGGAGCAACGCCGCGUGAGUGAUGAAGGCUUUCGGGUCGUAAAACUCUGUUGUUAGGGAAGAACAAGUACAAGAGUAACUGCUUGUACCUUGACGGUACCUAACCAGAAAGCCACGGCUAACUACGUGCCAGCAGCCGCGGUAAUACGUAGGUGGCAAGCGUUAUCCGGAAUUAUUGGGCGUAAAGCGCGCGCAGGCGGUUUCUUAAGUCUGAUGUGAAAGCCCACGGCUCAACCGUGGAGGGUCAUUGGAAACUGGGGAACUUGAGUGCAGAAGAGAAAAGCGGAAUUCCACGUGUAGCGGUGAAAUGCGUA